UUUAAGCAUGCAAGUCGAACGGGAACCUUGUCUUCGGACGAGGGGAUAGUGGCGAACGGGUGAGUAACACGUAGGUGAUCUGUCCUUGGAGUGGGGGAUAGCCCAUGGAAACAUGGGGUAAUACGGCAUGAGGUCUUGGAACUAUGGUUCUUAGAUGAAAGGAGCAAAUGUUCCGCUUUGGGAUGAGCCUGCGGUCCAUUAGCUAGUUGGUAGGGUAAAGGCCUACCAAGGCUACGAUGGAUAGCCGGCCUGAGAGGGUGAACGGUCACACUGGGACUGAGACACGGCCCAGACUCCUACGGGAGGCAGCAGCUAAGAAUCUUCCGCAAUGGGGGAAACCCUGACGGAGCGACGCCGCGUGGACGAUGAAGGCCUAGAGGUUGUAAAGUCCUUUUGCAGACGAAGAAUAAGGCAAGGAGUGGAACGCCUUGCUGAUGACGUUAGUCUUGCGAAUAAGCCCCGGCCAAUUACGUGCCAGCAGCCGCGGUAACACGUAUGGGGCGAGCGUUGUUCGGAAUUAUUGGGCGUAAAGGGCGCGUAGGCGGUGCUAUAAGCUUGGUGUGAAAUCCCCCGGCCUAACUGGGGAAUAGCGCUGAGAACUGUAGUGCUUGAGUUCUGGAGAGGAAGCUGGAAUUCCUGGUGUAGGGGUGAAAUCUGUAGAUAUCAGGAAGAACACCGGUGGCGAAGGCGGGCUUCUGGCCAGAAACUGACGCUGAGGCGCGAAAGCGUGGGGAGCGAACAGGAUUAGAUACCCUGGUAGUCCACGCUGUAAACGAUGUGCACUGGGUGUCGGGGCUUUAAUGGGUCUCGGUGCCGUAGUUAACGCGAUAAGUGCACCGCCUGGGGAGUAUGCUCGCAAGGGUGAAACUCAAAGGAAUUGACGGGGGCCCGCACAAGCGGUGGAGCAUGUGGUUUAAUUCGAUAUACGCGAGGAACCUUACCAGGGCUUGACAUGUACCUGACGGUCUGUGAGAGCAGGCUUUCUCUUCUGGGACGGGUACACAGGUGCUGCAUGGUUGUCGUCAGCUCGUGUCGUGAGAUGUUGGGUUAAGUCCCGCAACGAGCGCAACCCCUACUGUCUGUUGCCAGCAUUAAGUUGGGGACUCGGACGGAACUGCCGGUGACAAACCGGAGGAAGGUGGGGAUGACGUCAAAUCAUCAUGGCCCUUAUGUCCUGGGCUACACACGUGCUACAAUGGCAGGUACAGCGCGCAGGAGCGAAACGGUGACGUGGAGCCAAUCGCUAAAAGCCUGCCUCAGUUCGGAUUGGAGUCUGAAACUCGACUCCAUGAAGGUGGAAUCGCUAGUAAUCGCGCAUCAGCAUGGCGCGGUGAACACGUUCCCGGGCCUUGUACACACCGCCCGUCACACCACCCGAGUUGGGGGUACCCGAAGUCGCUUGUCUAACCCAUUUAUGGGGCGACGGCGCCGAAGGUAUGCCUGGUAAGGGGGGUGAAGUCGUAACAAGGUA
This 1471-nucleotide ribosomal RNA is filed under the name metagenome. RNAcentral describes it as "bacterial SSU rRNA". It matches the Rfam family "Bacterial small subunit ribosomal RNA". The record is from RNAcentral.